Molecule: long non-coding RNA, 3547 nt
Filed under: Homo sapiens (human)
Lineage: Eukaryota; Metazoa; Chordata; Mammalia; Primates; Hominidae
Description: family with sequence similarity 87 member A
Source: RNAcentral
GUUCUUCUUUCUACCUUUCUAAGAUUCCACCAUGUUGCUUGUUUAGUUCAACCAGUGCUGAUAGGGACACGUUUGCACUUGUCUCUCAGUGAACAUUCGCAAGAGAUUUUCUAGGCCUCCAGGCAGAAGCCGCUGCUGACGGGGAGAGUCUGCUGGAGGAAGUCACAUGGCAGAUGCCAGAGGACCAGCCUGGGAGAGGCUUUCUAGCAACCAGGACACCUGCCGCAGUGCCACGCUUUCUCCAGGAAACAAGGACAGCUGCACGGGUGCCCACACGAGAGUCGGCGACCAGCCUCGGCGGUGGGGUUCCUGCAACGCGUGUUCCUGCUGGGGUUCUCCUUUCUGCUGUUCCGAGCUACAGUGCGGAUCAUGCUCCCCAUACGUGGAGUCCAGGGACAGCACAGCCCGGGGACUGCCCAGCCAGCCAGGAAGUCUGGCUUUCAGAGAACUGGGAAGACCAUCUUCCACUUUAUCCCAUCUGGGAGACUGUAAACAUGGAUUCCACUGUCUCGGACAGUGAGACGAUUCCCAGUCUUUUCCUGUUCCUCCUCUAGAUGCUGUCUUGGACGCAGUGAAGUCUGCCGAUGGCUGUUUCAGAGCCGUUAGGAUGGUGAAGUGAGACAAUGUGAAUGGAGUGUUUUGUGAGGCUCAGUGCUGCAUAAAUGCUAGCCAUUAUCUAAUAGCAAGAAUUCCUUGAAAUGUUUCUUUCUCUCAAAUUUAUGAAAAGAUUAGAAAAUAGUUCUAAAAAUUAAAAAUGCUUCUGGUCGGAGCGGCUUACAUGAUGGCAGUGAAAGUGUGCAGCUUCAUGGGUCCCACUGCGUGCACUUGGCAUGGAGAGAACGAAAUGUGGAGGCCAGCGAUACCAAGAACACCCCUGUGAGCCGCGCUGGGUGCAGCCCCCACGGCCGGCGGGCAGUGACACCGCAGUUUCCUCUCCUGCCGGCAUCCACGCUUCCUGUGCCCAGGUGCUGGAAGCUCAGUCUUCAUGUCCCCUUCUCAGUUAUGUGUCUGUAGGGCUGGGACAGGGAAGGAAGUCAGUGAAGCUGGUUGGAUCUUCCAAGGGAUGCUCUGUGUGCAAGGCUCGGGGACAAGGAUGGCUGGGGGAGUCAGACUGUCAGUGAAGCUGAGGGGCGGAUGGAGCCUCACCACGCCUGAGUCCCUGUUUUCCAGCUGCAGAUGCUGACCCUCCAGAGCUUUGUUUACCAGCCCCUGUGACUGCGAUCUGGAGUCAGCCAGGCGUUCCUCCUUGUCCGGUAGAUUUUAUUAAGUGCUCAAUGUGUGCCAAGCCAAAUGUCCGUUUGACUUACUGCAUGUCCGAGAAGCGAUGCCGUUGAAGGAAUUUCCUCCCCAAGCCUGAAGGAAUUGAACACCAGGAAUGACUGGAACCCUGGAGAGAGAGAACUGGAUUUCUGGAGGAAAAUCACUCGUUUUAAGGAAGCAGCAUCCUGGACCCUUGAGGCCCUGGAGGAAGCGGGCAGCACAGCUCGGAGGCGGGUGUGGCUGGAGGACGGCCGUCGCACCUGCGAAAUUCUGUCUGUGGUACGUGGUUCCUUCCUGGCUCUGGGAACCACCUGGAUACUUGCAUUCUUCCCUUUUCCUUUCUAUUCUCUUUCAAGUCACCCUCCUUGAGACAGCCCUCCAGUCCAGGCCAAAUCUCAGCCUGCCCUUGGUCCGCUGUGGUUGGGCCUGCACCCAAGCCAUGAGCACACGCAGCAAUUGUGGCAGCAGAAGCUUCCUCUGGGCUCAGACUCAGGCUGAUGCUGCGUCAGGACCUGCCGCGGUCUCGGCUGGGCUUCCUGGGACUCGGUGGUUGUGGGCUGAUUGUAAAGCACGGAAUGACUCUUAGAAACUGGGCGUCAUUCUUUGUGGUUUUCCAAGCUUGGUCUCUGAUGAUACUCCAGGUCUUAGGAGACAUGCUGAAUAUUUAUUAUGCUUACAUUCAAGCAACAUUAACCCUUAAGGUUGAUGUAGCUCCCCGUCUUUUUUUCCCAGAAGGAGGAGCACUGAAGGAACACUUUUCCAGUAUGGAUUCUUUCCAGCUCCGAGAAGCUGGAGGCACACGGAUCCCUCGGCCAGCUCUCAUCUAUGGACGUGCUGUAGUCACAAGGACUGUGACUAAGGCUCAGUCCCUGAAGAGUGCCUUGGCAUGGGCUGCUUUAGGCUGUAAACACCCAGUUUUAUCCACUUUAUGUGAAGAAAGCCAACAAGGGGCAUGGAGUGAGUUCCGCAGGUUUUAGUGGCUGCGGAGGCUGGUGCUCAGUGGGGAUGAUGGAGGGAAGGCGCCUCCCUCUGCGGGCCCCGAGGUCUGUGCGGGAAUCAGCUCUGCAGUUGUGUCCAGGGGCAGCCGUAGACCACACACGGCAGGCUCACAGCUCUGUUCCAUGAGAACUUUAUACACAAAAGCAGACGGGCUGGCUUGGCCUCUGGAUCAUAAUCUGCUGACCCCUGGGGCAACGUUGGCUGCAGCGGAGAUGGCUGCUCCCCGGUGGGGUGUGUGCUCAGCCCGCAGCCCCCGCCCUCCGGACUCCGUUCGCCUCUGCUCUCAGCUUUGCACCUCGUCAUUGUCUUCUAAUUGUGCAUCCCUGGACUGCGUGACCUACAAGGCUCUCAGCACAACAAGACUCUAUGAUUCUGUCUAUUGGAACAAAAAGCCAGUGAGGCAAGUGUAUCAUCCUGUUGAUGAAUUCACAGAAUUAACUCUGGGAGUUGGGGACAGUUUGUAUUCUUCUUCCAGACACUCUCUGUUUCUGCUGGAUGGAAAGGUUCUGCUACUUGUCCUGUGGUCAGGCCCAGCUGAUGGAAUGGAAUGGAAGUGACUCAGCCCCUUACUGGCAGAAACUUUAAAAGCCGCACAACAUUCCUGCACCCUCCCCUCUGCCAUGAGCCUGGCAGUGCUCAGGAUGGGAAAAUUAUUUCACCUGGGCCUGAGGAUACAGGAGCUACUCCCAGCGUGCAGUGGAAGAGAAGCAUGGGCAAGUAAUUAAACUUUGUGUUUUCAAGCCACAGAGGUUUUUUGAGGUUGUUUGCUACCAUGCUUUGUCCCUACAAACACAGUCAUGGAGAAGGCCAGUGGCAGAGCCUGAGCCGUUCGUGCAUCUGUUCACCAGCAUCCAGAAUAACAAUAGAUUUUUGAAACAUUCCUGAGAAAAUUCUGGGAGUUGCAUACCGGCCAGUCUUAUUCCCUAAAGUUGUUCCUUCUAAAGGGUGGGAUGACCAAAAAUUUCAGAAAAGCAAACCACCGCUGAAAGGCAACGUUAUUUCUGUUGGCAGAAGGCGGCCUGAGCAAUCUAGAUUUUCCACGGUUCACCAACUAGUUUUUAAGGAAAUAUGGCUGUGAGAGGAAUAAAACAUAAUUCCUACCUUUAAGGAACUCAGAGAAGUGAAUUAAAGGAAGUCACAGAUCAGGCAACCAACCACACAAAGUUUCUAAGAGCAAACUGUUCAGGUCGGCAAGUCACUCUUAUCCACUGUUUUGCCUUCUGAGGUUUCAGUUACUCUCAGUCAGUCAUGGUCCAAAAACAUUAAAUGAAAAAUUCCAGAAAUAAAC